UUGGGGGCCUUGGGGCAUGGUUCUUGGUGUGAAAAAAAGAGAGGAGAGUCCUCUCUAUUAGGUGUGCGUAGAAACCUAGUUUUUAGGGGUUUUAUUCCUAUGAGUUUGGGAAGAGAGAAAAAAUAAGAAAAAAAUUAUUUUCUUCUCCAUCUUUCUUUCAUCUCUUCAUCUCCUCUAGAAGUCCAUCUUCAAUCUCUAGAAAGA
This 204-nucleotide long non-coding RNA is filed under the name Elaeis guineensis (African oil palm). Its description in RNAcentral is "long non-coding RNA (EGUI_LNC040369)". Lineage: Eukaryota; Viridiplantae; Streptophyta; Magnoliopsida; Arecales; Arecaceae. The record is from RNAcentral.